RNAcentral lists this ribosomal RNA (465 nucleotides) under Vreelandella stevensii. Its description in RNAcentral is "partial 16S ribosomal RNA". It matches the Rfam family "Bacterial small subunit ribosomal RNA", at positions 338 to 795 of the family's 1533-position model. The record is from RNAcentral. Lineage: Bacteria; Pseudomonadati; Pseudomonadota; Gammaproteobacteria; Oceanospirillales; Halomonadaceae.
CCUACGGGAGGCAGCAGUGGGGAAUAUUGGACAAUGGGGGGAACCCUGAUCCAGCCAUGCCGCGGGUGUGAAGAAGGCCCUCGGGUUGUAAAGCACUUUCAGUGAGGAAGAACGCCUGGUGGUUAAUACCCAUCAGGAAAGACAUCACUCACAGAAGAAGCACCGGCUAACUCCGUGCCAGCAGCCGCGGUAAUACGGAGGGUGCGAGCGUUAAUCGGAAUUACUGGGCGUAAAGCGCGCGUAGGUGGCUUGAUAAGCCGGUUGUGAAAGCCCCGGGCUCAACCUGGGAACGGCAUCCGGAACUGUCAAGCUAGAGUGCAGGAGAGGAAGGUAGAAUUCCCGGUGUAGCGGUGAAAUGCGUAGAGAUCGGGAGGAAUACCAGUGGCGAAGGCGGCCUUCUGGACUGACACUGACACUGGGGUGCGAAAGCGUGGGUAGCAAACAGGAUUAGAUACCCUUGUAGUC